AUAAAUCUGCAUGAUAAGAAUCUUGAUGUUUUACAUGAUACAAGUCAACUGUUCAUAUGUCAUUUCUUUAUCUGCAUGAUGGAAUCUACUGUUCACUAGUUCACAGGUGACAUAGCAUAUUAAUGGUUGAAGGACAGGUUUUAUUUGCCUCCUUUUUCUUUUUUCCUUUUUCUUUUUUUAAAUGCUGACCAAAGCUUAGCACAGUAAUAACACUCCUCACCACGUGCAUUUUCAUCAAGAGCAUGUAGCUGAAGACCAUUUCAAUAAAUAUUGGAAAAGGAUCUUCAUCACUCCAAUAUAAGCUUUCUUUUUUGGGGAUCUAUUCCUGCUUUAUUUUGGUGUGUCGGAGGGUUCUGCAAGAAAUACAUGUCUCAGAUUUUAACAGAUGGAGCACGAGAAGAGGUGCUUUGACCCCUGCUUUUGGAGCACUGUUGUCCCUUCAUCCAAGUCAAAGCAGCCAAGAAUCGAUCCUUCCAUCCCCAAUUUGCAGUAGCUUCAGGUGAUGACAAUGAAGCGGAUGUUACUCCUUUACAUGCGUGGUCCGCAGGAAACCGAUGCUUGAGGCACACCUUGAGCUGGCAAGUUUUACAAAUACAGGUAUUAGAAAAUGUCAAGACCUCCUUGCAUCUCCCAACAGGACAAGUGGGCUUUUUCUUCUUGCCGGGGUCACACAUUCCAGAUUUGUCAUGCUUCUCCAAUAUAGCCUUCUCGUCGUGUUCAUUAUAACCGGUGGUCUCCAUUGACAUGGAACAUGAUGGGCAAAUCACAACCUUCCUGCUGUUAUGGUCUGAUUUGGGGCAGUCGUGGGACUUGUAAGAUCUGUGUUCCAAGCAGAAAACCUGCAAUGUAAAUGGGAGAAAGAUGUGAGGAUAGGGAGAAUUGAAGGAAUGGAGAUUCAAAAGAAGGGAAACCUGAGAGCAAGCGUCGCAUGUGAAAGGGAGGAAAUCGAGUUGAUUGCAAUCAACGUGAUGGCAGUGUGAUCCCAAAUCCGGGAAGGCUUCGGUUCCACCUGCCAUGGCAGGUUGAUUGCUUCUAGGACGGAACGGAAAUUGGAGAAUGAGAGCAAGGGAGGAAGGAUGGCCUUCAUAUCGUUUAUAAGCUGGGGAUGGGGAAUUUUACACCUGUCAGAAAGAAAACCUUGAGAUAAUUGAUUUUUUCUAUGAAAUUAAAUUGAGAAAAUAUUAUUAAACAA
This is a long non-coding RNA of Prosopis cineraria, 1192 nucleotides long. RefSeq lists it as uncharacterized. The record is from RefSeq and is a predicted model, not a curated record. Lineage: Eukaryota; Viridiplantae; Streptophyta; Magnoliopsida; Fabales; Fabaceae. The transcript is spliced from 2 exons.